RNAcentral lists this ribosomal RNA (617 nucleotides) under uncultured fungus. RNAcentral describes it as "eukaryotic LSU rRNA". The stretch from base 248 to 401 matches the Rfam family "5.8S ribosomal RNA". Lineage: Eukaryota; Fungi. The record is from RNAcentral.
CUUGGUCAUUUAGAGGAAGUAAAAGUCGUAACAAGGUUUCCGUAGGUGAACCUGCGGAAGGAUCAUUAUCCAUCUCAACCAGGAGUGGUGGCGGCCAGGCAUUGUGUCCUCGGUUCAGCCCCGCUUUCCUGCAUCCUUUUUUUACGAGCACCUUUCGUUCUCCUUCGGCGGGGCAACCUGCCGCUGGAACUUAACAAAACCUUUUUUUGCAUCUAGCAUUACCUGUUCUGAUACAAACAAUCGUUACAACUUUCAACAAUGGAUCUCUUGGCUCUGGCAUCGAUGAAGAACGCAGCGAAAUGCGAUAAGUAGUGUGAAUUGCAGAAUUCAGUGAAUCAUCGAAUCUUUGAACGCACAUUGCGCCCCUUGGUAUUCCAUGGGGCAUGCCUGUUCGAGCGUCAUCUACACCCUCAAGCUCUGCUUGGUGUUGGGCGUCUGUCCCGCCUCUGCGCGCGGACUCGCCCCAAAUUCAUUGGCAGCGGUCUUUGCCUCCUCUCGCGCAGCACAAUUGCGUCUGCGAGGGGGCGUGGCCCGCGUCCACGAAGCAACAUUACCGUCUUUGACCUCGGAUCAGGUAGGGAUACCCGCUGAACUUAAGCAUAUCAAUAAGCGGAGGA